ACUCCUGUAGCCCAACGGCAGAGGCGGCUGUCUCAAAAACAGUCCAAGUGUGAGUACCGUUUCACGGAAGCAAGCUACAAUUCUCACCAGGAGUACCA
This 98-nucleotide transfer RNA is filed under the name Oculatellaceae cyanobacterium Prado106. Its description in RNAcentral is "tRNA-Leu". It matches the Rfam family "tRNA". From Rfam's summary of the family: Transfer RNA (tRNA) molecules are approximately 80 nucleotides in length. Their secondary structure includes four short double-helical elements and three loops (D, anti-codon, and T loops). Lineage: Bacteria; Bacillati; Cyanobacteriota; Cyanophyceae; Oculatellales; Oculatellaceae. The record is from RNAcentral.